This 361-nucleotide ribosomal RNA is filed under the name gamma proteobacterium SCGC AAA024-B13. Its description in RNAcentral is "bacterial SSU rRNA". It matches the Rfam family "Bacterial small subunit ribosomal RNA", at positions 370 to 722 of the family's 1533-position model. The record is from RNAcentral. Lineage: Bacteria; Pseudomonadati; Pseudomonadota; Gammaproteobacteria.
AAUGGGCGCAAGCCUGAUCCAGCCAUGCCGCGUGGGUGAAGAAGGCCUUCGGGUUGUAAAGCCCUUUCAGNUGGGAAGGAAGGGCAGUCGAUUAAUACUCGGUUGUUNUGACGUUACCCACAGAAUAAGCACCGGCUAACUUCGUGCCAGCAGCCGCGGUAAUACGAAGGGUGCAAGCGUUACUCGGAAUUACUGGGCGUAAAGCGUGCGUAGGUGGUUGUUUAAGUCNGAUGUGAAAUCCCCGGGCUCAACCUGGGAACUGCAUUCGAAACUGGCGAGCUAGAGUGUGGUAGAGGGUGGUGGAAUUCCCGGUGUAGCGGUGAAAUGCGUAGAGAUCGGGAGGAACACCCGUGGCGAAGGC